GACUCCAUGGUGUAAUGGUUAGCACAUCUGCUUUGCAUGUAGAAGGUCUUGGGUUUGUGCCCCAGGUGGAGCCA
Molecule: non-coding RNA, 74 nt
Organism: Pteropus alecto (black flying fox)
Lineage: Eukaryota; Metazoa; Chordata; Mammalia; Chiroptera; Pteropodidae
Source: Rfam